Molecule: ribosomal RNA, 492 nt
Filed under: uncultured bacterium
Lineage: Bacteria
Description: partial 16S ribosomal RNA
Rfam family: Bacterial small subunit ribosomal RNA
Source: RNAcentral
AGUGAACGCUGGCGGUAGGCCUAAUACAUGCAAGUCGAACGGCAGCACAGUAAGAGCUUGCUCUUACGGGUGGCGAGUGGCGGACGGGUGAGGAAUACAUCGGAAUCUACUUUUUCGUGGGGGAUAACGUAGGGAAACUUACGCUAAUACCGCAUACGACCUACGGGUGAAAGCAGGGGAUCUUCGGACCUUGCGCGAUUGAAUGAGCCGAUGUCGGAUUAGCUAGUUGGCGGGGUAAAGGCCCACCAAGGCGACGAUCCGUAGCUGGUCUGAGAGGAUGAUCAGCCACACUGGAACUGAGACACGGUCCAGACUCCUACGGGAGGCAGCAGUGGGGAAUAUUGGACAAUGGGCGCAAGCCUGAUCCAGCCAUACCGCGUGGGUGAAGAGGGCCUUCGGGUUGUAAAGCCCUUUUGUUGGGAAAGAAAAGCAGCAGGUUAAUACCCCGCUGUUCUGACGGUACCCAAAGAAUAAGCACCGGCUAACUUCGUG